GAGGCUAAGCAAAUAACUUAUAACAUAGCUAACAGUCUCAAGGGCAGGGGGGUUGUUAUCGGGGAGAAGACGCCGCCAUGGACGAGGCGGAGGAGAUCCUUCUGAGUUCGCUGCGCAGUUCCGGCGUUUCGCUUCCUUCGGGCCUCUCCGCCUCCUCCUCUUCGAUCAAAGGUCUCUCCCCCGACGCCCUCGUCUCCGUCUGCGCUCAAUCUCUUCGCCUAAUCCGUGGCGCCGCCUCGGCGUCCCUCCCGACCUCGAUCCCGGAUGCCGCCGCGGAGCGGUUCAAGGUUUGCGCGGAUGUUGCCGCGGUCAUCAAGUCGAUCGGAUAUAAAGACGAUCUCAGCUUCCACCAGUUUCUAUAUCCAACAAAUGAGGAAUCGUACAAGUUGCUGAGGUUUUUAGUGGAGAGGCUAUCUGAAUCAAUUUUGAAUACAGGUGCAUCAGAUGAUACAACAACCAGUCAUGCUUCUGACAGCACCUUAGCUAGUGGUGAUAGUUCUAACGAUACAUCAAAAUUGCUUACAGAGUGGCCUAAUAAAAUGUAUGAGAGUCAAGAUUUACAUGAUUUUCCAUGUACUUCCGGAAGAUCAUACAAAGAAUUACGGGAGAUAUCUGAUAUAGAUGUUACAGAAGUAAACACACAUGGGUUGCUUGGUGCUAGUGCAGUUCCAGGGCCACUGGAAGAGUCAGAUGAUGCAGGAUCGUUAUACGGGCAUCGGAAAUGUGAUAUAGAGAUUCAUUGCAAGGAGGGAAAUGUUGGAUAUGUUUCAGAACAACCAAGGAAUUCCACAGAGGUAUGUGCCAAUAAAGAGCAUACUGUGCAGGAAGAUAGUGAAUGUAUUGUUGAACUUGAACAGACACUGGCUUCUCUCCGGUUGGAAAAAUUGAAGCUAAGAAAUGAGACUGAGUGUUUGAAAGAUCAAGAGAAGUCAUUGAAGGAGAAAACACAGUCUAAAGUCUUCGAAAUUCAGGGUCUAGAAGCUGAGUAUGAGCUCCUAAAAGCAGCUGUGAAAAUGGCAUUUGAUGAUCAACAUUCUAUUGAGCUCUGUUUGAAAGAGCUCAAUGAGCAAGCAGAAGCAAGAAGGGGCAAUCUUGUGAAACUGGAAAUGCAAUGGAAUGCACUAAAAGGAACAGCAGAAGUGAGACCACUAUUGCUUGAGCAGUCGAUGCAUGCUCAAAAACCUGAACUGCAAGAAAGGCUUUUGAAAUUAAAAGAAAUUAAACAAGUGACAGAGGCCACAAUGUCAGAAAUUCACAGAAGGGAGGUUGAACAUGCUGAACUAAUUGUCGAGCUUGAUAAAUUGCCAAAAGUUCCUUCUAGAAAAUAUUACAUUGAUCGUGUGACUGAAAUAACAAAGAACAGCUGGAAACAAGACACUGACCUUCAUCGAAUAUUAAAGGAGAUUCGAGAAGUUCAGCUAGAGAGUAAUUCCAUACAGGAAAGGCUUCACAGGACAUAUGCUGUGGUUGAAGAAACAGUUUUCAGGGAUGCAAAAAAUGAUCCAGUCGGGCGACAGGCAUAUAGGCUUCUAACUAGCAUCCACGAUAUCUUUGAACAAAUCGUGGAGAAGAUUCGUUCAACUGACAAAGCUAGAAAGGAAGGUGCUGAGCAAGAGAAGAAGCUUGCAGCCAUUUCCUCCCGUAAUUUUGACAUUCAGAAACUCCAAGCAGAUCUUGAUUCUAUCAGGAAGGAAAAUGAAUUACUAGAGCAGCAACUUUACCACAAUUAGUCAGCAAACUUUUCAUGCAUCAUGUCAGGUUCACUGUAUGCUCCCAGGUGAUGUUUGCUCUUGCUCCAUGAGAAAACUAAAGAUAUUGAGAACCUGUCGCCUUGCAGCAGCAGCAGCCGGAGCAGGUGUGUCAGAUUUAGAAGGUUUGGACAACCCAAGUGGGUUGUUGGAUCAGUUCGUCUUUGCUUGUGAUAGCGGUGUGAUAUAUAUAUAUAUAUAUAUAUAUAUAUAUAUAUAUAUAUAUAUAUAUAUAUGAUUGUUGGAUCAGUUCUUGUCUUUGCUUGUGAUAGCGGUGUGAUAUAUAUAUAUAUAUAUAUAUAUAUAUAUAUAUAUAUAUAUAUAUAUAUAUAUAUAUAUAUAUAUAUAUAUUUCUGCAAAUUAAAGUGGUUAAGAUGAGAUACAAUCUCAGGCCAACUUAAGAUAUGAGUCUGGUACACUAUGACCAGCGGAAUUAUGCUAGUGAUGGUCCCUGUUGGCUCAAAAGCUUCUGUGAAUGUAAGAAAGAGCAUGUAGCUUGUCAGUCUCUAAUGGAAGUAUUGUUCUGAUGUGUCGCCAAUCA
Musa acuminata AAA Group (dessert banana) is the source of this 2289-nucleotide RNA transcript. RefSeq lists it as uncharacterized. Lineage: Eukaryota; Viridiplantae; Streptophyta; Magnoliopsida; Zingiberales; Musaceae. The transcript has 7 exons. The record is from RefSeq and is a predicted model, not a curated record.